Molecule: ribosomal RNA, 396 nt
Filed under: uncultured bacterium
Lineage: Bacteria
Description: partial 16S ribosomal RNA
Rfam family: Bacterial small subunit ribosomal RNA
Source: RNAcentral
GAUAUUGCACAAUGGGGGAAACCCUGAUGCAGCGACGCCGCGUGAGCGAAGAAGGCCNNNGGGUCNUCAAGCUCUGUCUCGUGNGACNAUAAUGACGGUACCCCGGGAGUAAGCCCCGGCUAACUCCGUGCCAGCAGCCGCGGUAAUACGUAGGGGGCAAGCGUUGUCCGGAAUUAUUGGGGGUAAAGGGUUGUUAGGCGGCCUUUUAAGUCAGGUGUGAAAGCCCACGGCUUAACCGUGGGAAUGCAUUUGAAACUGGAAGGCUUGAGUAUCGGAGAGGGUAGUGGAAUUCCCAGUGUAGCGGUGGAAUGCGUAGAUAUUGGGAGGAACACCAGUGGCGAAGGCGACUACCCGGACGAAAACUGACGCUGAGGCACGAAAGCUAGGGGAGCAAAC